GAACGCNGGCGGCGUGGNUAAGACAUGCAAGUCAAACGGACUAGUAAUUUAUUAUUAGUCAGUGGCGAAAGGGUUAGGAANAGAUAGGUAACGUACCCUGUGCUCUGGGANAGCGUCAGUAGCUUCGGCUACUUUCCGAAAGGGGCGGUAAUACCAGAUAAUAUCAUCUGCCGACUGGGUAGAUGAUCAAAGAUUNAUCGGCACGGGAGCGGCUUAUCUCUUAUCAGCUUGUUGGUGAGGUAAAAGCUCACCAAGGCUAUGACGGGUAGCGGGACUGAGAGGUUGACCCGCAACAUCGGGACUGAGACACUGCCCGGACCUCCACGGAGGGCUGCAGUAACGAAUAUUACGCAAUGGGCGAAAGCCUGACGCAGCGACGCCGCGUGUAGGAGGAAGUCUCUAGGGACGUAAACUACUGUCAGGGGUUAGAAAGUGCAUUUCGGUGCAUUGAUCAGCCCCAGAGGAAGUCACGGCUAACUUCGUGCCAGCAGCCGCGGUAAGACGAAGGUGGCGAGCGUUGUUCGGUGUCACUGGGCUUAAAGAGUGUGUAGGCGGAUAUGCAAGCGCCAUGUGAAAUCCCUCGGCUUAACCGAGGAACUGCUUGGCGAACUGCAUAUCUUGAGGCAGGUAGGGGCCAGUGGAACUCUUGGUGGAGCGGUGGAAUGCGUAGAUAUCAAGAGGAACGCCAGUGGAGAAAUCGGCUGGCUGGGCCUGUCCUGACGCUGAGACACGAAAGCGUGGGGAGCGAACGGGAUUAGAUACCCCGGUAGUCCACGCCGUAAACGAUGUCUACUAGGUAGUGGUGGUUCUGACGCCGGCACUGCCGAAGCAAAAGUGAUAAGUAGACCGCCUGGGGAGUACGGUCGCAAGGCUAAAACUCAAAGGAAUUGACGG
This 894-nucleotide ribosomal RNA is filed under the name uncultured bacterium. RNAcentral describes it as "bacterial SSU rRNA". It matches the Rfam family "Bacterial small subunit ribosomal RNA", at positions 31 to 916 of the family's 1533-position model. The record is from RNAcentral.